RNAcentral lists this ribosomal RNA (500 nucleotides) under Pristimantis gaigei (Fort Randolph robber frog). Its description in RNAcentral is "partial 16S ribosomal RNA". It matches the Rfam family "Bacterial large subunit ribosomal RNA", at positions 1836 to 2597 of the family's 2925-position model. The record is from RNAcentral. Lineage: Eukaryota; Metazoa; Chordata; Amphibia; Anura; Strabomantidae.
CGCCUCUUGAUAAGAGGUCCAGCCUGCCCAGUGAAUUCAACGGCCGCGGUACUCUAACCGUGCGAAGGUAGCGUAAUCACUUGUCUUCUAAAUAAAGACUAGUAUGAAAGGCAUCACGAGAACUAAACUGUCUCCCUUUUCCAAUCAGUGAACCUAAUCUUCCCGUGAAGAAGCGGGAAUUUUUAAAUAAGACGAGAAGACCCUAUGGAGCUUAAAACACUAUUACACCUGCAGGAUGAUUAUACGUUUUCGGUUGGGGUGACCACGGAGAAAAACCCACCCUCCACGAUGAAAAACAACAAGCAACAACUUUAAGCAUCAGUAAACUGACUCCAUUGACCCAAUAAAUUGAUUAACGAACCAAGUUACCCUAGGGAUAACAGCGCAAUCCACUUCAAGAGCCCCUAUCGACAAGUGGGCUUACGACCUCGAUGUUGGAUCAGGGUGUCCUAGUGGUGCAGCCGCUACUAAAGGUUCGUUUGUUCAACGAUUAAAACCCU